CACUUCUGAUUUUCUGUCUCACUUAUUUCAUACUGAGGAGAAGAAAAGGUGAUAAAAUAAAUGCUUCUAUUGAAGAUUCUCCAGUAACAAAGCAGGAAACUGAAGCUGAAACACUGAAUUACGCAGCUCUAAAAUUCUCCAAGAAGAAAGUCAAAGCUGCAGAAAGAAAAACUGGAUCAUCAGAUGAGUGUGU
This is a long non-coding RNA of Tachysurus fulvidraco (yellow catfish), 193 nucleotides long. RefSeq lists it as uncharacterized. NCBI's taxonomy places the organism in Eukaryota, Metazoa, Chordata, Actinopteri, Siluriformes, Bagridae. The record is from RefSeq and is a predicted model, not a curated record. The transcript is spliced from 3 exons.